UACGGGGGGGGCAAGCGUUGUUCGGAAUUACUGGGCGUAAAGGGCUCGUAGGCGGCCAACUAAGUCGGAUGUGAAAUCCCCAGGCUUAACCUGGGAACUGCAUCCGAUACUGGAUGGCUUGAAUUCGGGAGAGGGAUGCAGAAUUCCAGGUGUAGCGGUGAAAUGCGUAGAUAUCUGGAGGAAUACCGGUGGCGAAGGCGGCAUCCUGGACCGAGAUUGACGCUGAUGAGCGAAAGCUAGGGGAGCAAACGGGG
This 254-nucleotide ribosomal RNA is filed under the name uncultured bacterium. RNAcentral describes it as "partial 16S ribosomal RNA". It matches the Rfam family "Bacterial small subunit ribosomal RNA", at positions 524 to 777 of the family's 1533-position model. The record is from RNAcentral.